CCUAGCUAUGCAGUCUCGAAUGCAAUUCCCAGGUUGAGCCCGGGGCUUUCACACCCGACUUACAUAACCGUCUACGCACGCUUUACGCCCAGUAAUUCCGAUUAACGCUUGCACCCUCUGUAUUACCGCGGCUGCUGGCACAGAGUUAGCCGGUGCUUUUUCUUUGGGUUAGGUCAAGACUCAGCGGUAUUAGCCCUGAGCUUUUCAUCCCCACUAAAAGUGCUUUACAACCCGCAGGCCUUCUUCACACACGCGGCGUCGCUGGAUCAGGGUUUCCCCCAUUGUCCAAUAUUCCCCACUGCUGCCUCCCGUAGGAGUCUGGGCCGUGUCUCAGUCCCAGUGUGGCUGGUCGUCCUCUCAGACCAGCUACGGAUCGUCGCCUUGGUAGGCCGUUACCCUACCAACUAGCUAAUCCGGUUUCGGCUCAUCCAUCGGCGCGAGGUCUUACGAUCCCCCGCUUUCUCCCGUAGGACUUAUGCGGUAUUAGCCAACCUUUCGGCUGGUUAUUCCCCACCAUUGGGCAGAUUCCGAAACAUUACUCACCCGUUCGCCGCUCGUCAGCAUGUAUUGCUACACCUGUUACCGCUCGACUUGCAUGUGUUAGGCACGCCGCCAGCGUUCAAUCUGAGCCAGGAUCAAACUCU
RNAcentral lists this ribosomal RNA (644 nucleotides) under uncultured bacterium. Its description in RNAcentral is "partial 16S ribosomal RNA". The record is from RNAcentral.